UAACAAGGUCUCCGUUGGUGAACCAGCGGAGGGAUCAUUACAG
This 43-nucleotide ribosomal RNA is filed under the name Magnaporthiopsis poae. Its description in RNAcentral is "partial 18S ribosomal RNA". Lineage: Eukaryota; Fungi; Ascomycota; Sordariomycetes; Magnaporthales; Magnaporthaceae. The record is from RNAcentral.